GGAUGUCAGGGUGAUCUGGCUUCGACAUCUGUCACCCCAUCGCCAUUGAUGGCCAGGGUUGACUCAGCUGAUCUAGCUGGCUAGGUGGGUGUCCCUCACCGCUCCAAGUGCAUCCCUCCUGACCCUGUGCACUCAGUCGAAGAGGACAACCUUCCCUGAUAGAGGAGGACCGUUCUUCAGUCAAGGGUAUACGAGUAACUGCGCUCCCCUGCUAGAACCUCCAAAAACAAAAAGGAGUGGCCAGUCCUGUCAAUGUCACUGAAGGGGGUAAGGUGAGGUCUGGCUGAGUAGCAGCCACCAGAUUCAAAGACACGGGCUGCUGGUGACCUU
Unclassified non-coding RNA from Otolemur garnettii (small-eared galago), 330 nucleotides. Its record names the gene 7SK. It matches the Rfam family "7SK RNA". From Rfam's summary of the family: 7SK was discovered as an abundant small nuclear RNA in the mid-70s but a possible function has only recently been suggested. Two independent studies have found that 7SK RNA binds the CDK9/cyclin T complex (known as elongation factor P-TEFb). P-TEFb activates transcription by phosphorylating the C-terminal domain of RNA polymerase II. The record is from Ensembl. Lineage: Eukaryota; Metazoa; Chordata; Mammalia; Primates; Galagidae.